CAGUGCUUCUGGGCUCCUGCAAGGAAUGUACGCAGCCUCAGAGGGCCGAAGCCACGUGCCAGUUAGGUUUCAUGGUCUUCAGCUGUCCUUUUGAGUAAUCUCCAAGUACUACAAGGCUCAGCAAUUAAGCCUGUUUUUUUUCCGGUUGCAGGUGCCAUCUGGCCUGCAUUUGGCAAAGGAGGAGUGUUUGUGCUGAGUCGGGGAGGUAGCGAGGGGGAGCUGGGGUCUCCUGUCCUUUCAGAAAUGCCAUGUAACUUUUUUCCUUGCUCACCUAGGUGCAGCACAUGGUGACAGCAGCAGCCUCUGAUUCAGAUUGGAGCCAGAGACCCAAGAACCUCAGAGUUUAGGGGAUGGUGAGUAGCACAACUGUGGGGUUAUUGCGCAUGUG
Long non-coding RNA from Empidonax traillii (willow flycatcher), 388 nucleotides. RefSeq lists it as uncharacterized. The record is from RefSeq and is a predicted model, not a curated record. NCBI's taxonomy places the organism in Eukaryota, Metazoa, Chordata, Aves, Passeriformes, Tyrannidae. The transcript is spliced from 3 exons.